Long non-coding RNA from Drosophila navojoa, 207 nucleotides. The record is from RefSeq and is a predicted model, not a curated record. NCBI's taxonomy places the organism in Eukaryota, Metazoa, Arthropoda, Insecta, Diptera, Drosophilidae.
AUUGCCACAGUAAUUGGACGCAGGCAAAUGUAAAAAAUACAUAACAACAACAGAAAUGAAGAAAGCCCCAAAAAGCGCAAACGGUAAGCGCCGAGUUGCCGCUAUGCCGACUAUUCAGGCAGAAAUAAUUGAAUAUGAAAGGCCCGGAAGUAAAAUAAUGAAUGAGAGUGUGUGUGACAGAGAGAGACGGCGCACAAAGAGAGAGAG